Molecule: RNA transcript, 3735 nt
Organism: Lagenorhynchus albirostris (white-beaked dolphin)
Lineage: Eukaryota; Metazoa; Chordata; Mammalia; Artiodactyla; Delphinidae
Gene: TSFM
Gene name: Ts translation elongation factor, mitochondrial
Exons: 8
Source: RefSeq, a predicted model, not a curated record
GUCUCAAUACGCCAAGUAGAGGAGGCGAAUGCACCCCCCGGACAGCAGGUGGCGCCAUCUCCUCUUGGCGCGUUCCGGUGGAGAAUUUUGGCCCCGCCGCUACGCCGUAGGCCCGUGGCCUCACGGGUGCGGCAACAGCGUACGGUCCCCGGAAAGAUGUCGCUGCUGCGCUCACUGCGCCUCUGUUUGGUCGCGCGGGCCGGGAGCUGCCCAGUGGGGCCCCUUCUGCUUCAGUCGCCCCAGCCGUGGCAUACAUUUCACGCUGGGCCCUGGCUGUCCUCCUCGGCUUCCAGCAAGGAGCUCCUCAUGAAGCUGCGGCGGAGAACGGGCUACUCCUUUGUAAACUGCAAGAAGGCUCUGGAGACUUGUGGCAGGGAUCUCAAACAGGCAGAGAGCUGGCUCCACAAACAGGCCCAGAAGGAGGGCUGGAGUAAAGCUGCCAGGCUCCAUGGCAGGAAGACCAAAGAAGGUCUGAUUGGGCUGCUGCAGGAAGGAAACACGACUGUGUUAGUAGAGGUGAACUGUGAGACAGAUUUUGUUUCCAGAAAUUUAAAAUUUCAACAAUUGGUCCAGCAAGUAGCCCUGGGAACCCUGUUGCAUUGUCAGAGCCUAAAGGAUCAACUGUCUACAUAUAGUAAAGGCUUCUUGAAUUCCUCUGAGCUCUCUGAACUUCCAGCUGGGCGUGAGAGAGAAGGCUGUCUCAGGGAUCAGCUGGCCUUAGCAAUUGUUCAAGUAAAAUUGCUCUAUUGACGUGCAUCCAUAAACCAUAUAGAACUUACCUUGCCUUCGCUCUCAGCGGUCUUCCCAGUUUUCUGGCGGGUGUUCUCCUCUCAGCCAGCCUACACAGGGGCUACUGGAACCACUCCUUCAAAGUUCUUUUCAUCCAGCUCACUCCCUGCUCAGGUGUAUGUGCCUGCCAUGACUCUCCCUCCUGGAGACGGCCUGGACUGGCCAUCGACUCACCAGACCCCUCCCAGCUCUGCUGCAGGAACCCUCUGCUCCAGGUAGCCACAACCGGGCCUCCUUUCAUUUACCAUUUCUUUUUUUUUGGUGGUACACAGGCCUCUCACUGUUGUGGCCUCUCCCGUUGCGGAGCACAGGCUCCGGAUGCGCAGGCUCAGCGGCCAUGGCUCACGGGCCCAGCCGCUCCGCGGCAUGUGGGAUCUUCCCGGACAGGGGCACGAACCCGGGUCCCCUGCAUCGGCAGGCGGACUCUCAACCACUGCGCCACCAGGGAAGCCCUCAUUUACCAUUUCUUUAACCUUCAACAAGUCCCUCCCUCCUCCUGGCUAUUCAUCAAGCUUGGCAUCGUCUCAACACUCUUUGCUGAAAACGCACCUUCUGCAGGUAGACACCUCACCCCCACCCCCCACUCAUGUAAAUGUCAUCCCUUUUCCAUUAUUCACACCUCUCCUUGUUAGCCAGGAGUUCACAGUGUUUGAAGAUACGCCUUUUUAAAAAAUCUGUGGGUUCUGUAUAUUUCUCUAUACCCUCAACUAGACUGUAAAGAGCUGCUGUGCAGAGUCCAGCACUGGGACUGGGAGAGCACCUCAGCUGGGAGGAGGGUGGUGGGGUGAAGAAAGCUUCUAAUGGACACAGGAUAGUGCUGACCACCCAUGGAAGCCUCAAACCCCAUCUCCCUACAAGUAACUCUUCUAUCUGACUAUCAACACCACAGGAUCCUUAACCCUGGACUGAGCAGGUUGUGUAGGGCCAGAGCGUCACCUUAUUUAGAUUCAAGCGCUUUUUGAUAGAUGUGUACUGAGUAUGUAUUGUGGCAGAAUCCAGUGUAGGGACCCCAAGGGGAGGGGAAUCGGAGAAAGCUUUACAGAGGAGGAGAUGCCUUUUCUGGGGAGAAAGAAAUUCACCGGCUAGAUGGAAUGGGUGGGCAGGGGAGGAGAGAAAACAGCUAGUACUGACUUCCUUGUCUGUAACAGGCAGAUACACCAACUCUUCAGCUUUAGAGAAAAUGUAUUAAGUCAUAUAACAGUGCUGGUCACAUUCAGUAGGACCAGGGGAGAUAAAUAAAUGAUAGCUAUUACUACUAUUAAAUAAUUUAAUUUUAAACAGCUUGGCUGCAAAGAGAAAAAAAGUGACAGCUAGAGGGGGAUGAGGGGCUGCAUUUUUUAAGAUGCGAAAGCCUCGAAUGUGAAAGGUUACCAAUAAAAGCAGAGAGGCUGAAGUUACAGGAAAGGAUCAACUGAUGGAACACAAGCCCCGAGGAGCAGAAGACCCCGAGUUCCUGGGCUGGGCGUGGCCUGGCAGCAGCUCACCUGAGCCCUGGUGGCUGUGCUGCGACGGGGCUGGGGGGCAGCUGUAGCCUGUUGUCAGCAACUGCGGAGAGCAGGGGCUCCCACUCAACAUCAUUCUCUGGUGGGGCCUCCAGGUAUCUGUGAUGCGACUGUGGCCAAAUGCCAGAGGCCGGCCCUCCUACUUCUGAUCACUCUUCCAUCAUCAACUUUAGGCCACUUCACUGGCACCUGCAGUCAGGCUUCCAAGACAGCCCAGGACGAGUGUAAGAAGAGCUCCAGAUGUCCAGUUACCUUAAAGGAGCUAUGCACAAGGGUUUCAUCCAAGUCAAUGACCACGCAGAUUCUUCCUUGAUCUUCCUCUGUCACCUCCGGGAGCAGACAGGUCCCUGGAAUCUAAAACCAGAGCCAGGCUACUGAAUCUGCCACCAAGAAAGACUAAUUUUCCCCAAUAGAACUCUGGGAAGAGCUGGGCCCACUGAGGAGAUGGAAGCCCCCUACUUCAACCCAAGAGAGGCGACACUUAAAGGCCAAGAGGUAGAGAAAGAAGAGACUGAGCUGGCUCCUUCCUUCAGCCUGGGACUGUGAAGUGAUCCAGAUACUGGAGCUGGAGGCCAGAGCUGGUGAUGGAUACCGGCUGUCCCCCGCACAAUCUAAUGCCUUGCACGUGGUGGGCCCUCAGCAAAUAUCUGGGACAAACAGCUUCCAAGGGCAGGGAGUUAGCCAGCCAGACACAGAGGAAUGAGGGCUUCACCGCAUGGGGCAUGGGGUUAGAAGGUAUCACUGGGUGUUGGGGCUUCUGAGGCCAUACCCUGUGAGAUUCACAUACCUGAUAAAACUGGUACUGGAGACACUGGAGCAGAUCCGACUACGGGAGAAAAGAAGGUGGUCAGUGCCAGCCCACUAAUGCCUUUCCUGGUUGUCUAAAGCCCACUCAGGCCUGGAGGGGAAUUUUCUCCCCAAGACCCCAGCCCCCUGGAAAGCUCUGACACGACAAAAGUGACUUUCCUUAAGAGCUGGGCAGGAAAGGGGCCAAAAUCUUCUUUCCACACUCGGCCUGAUGCAGGAUGGAGAAGGAAGUGUCCCUGUUCUCAGCUGCCAUUGCCUCUCCAAGGAACAGGGGACUCAAGCAGCUGACGCAGGGACACAGAGUCAGAGGCAGAAUCAAAAUCGGAACUCCUCACUGUGGAGGUCUGGCCUCUUGCUUAGUCCCGAAACCCAGGCUGCUGUUUGAGAACAUGUGUUCUCUCCAUCCUCCUUGGGGGCCUAGAUUAGGGGGAGGUGCACUGAGCCCCUACAAAGCACAAGUAAGCCAAUGUGAGCCCACACUGUGGGUCCUGAAACGUGAGGGGAGGUAGAGUGCAGAGAGCUCGGAAAGCCUCUUCCCGCCUUCGGCUAAUAAGUAAAACGUUAUAAUGUAACAAGUAAGUGAUCUUAAUGGAAACCCUGAAGAAAAAUUAAAAUCCUAGCACUUAGAAAAACUUAA